RNAcentral lists this transfer RNA (72 nucleotides) under marine sediment metagenome. RNAcentral's name for it is "tRNA-Ala". It matches the Rfam family "tRNA". From Rfam's summary of the family: Transfer RNA (tRNA) molecules are approximately 80 nucleotides in length. Their secondary structure includes four short double-helical elements and three loops (D, anti-codon, and T loops). The record is from RNAcentral.
GGGCCUGUAGCUCAGCUGGGAGAGUGUUUGUUUGGCAGACAAAAGGUCGUCGGUUCGAUCCCGAUCAGUCCA